CACACGAUGUUCUCUCGAUGCUCGCCGGCAGCAGCAUAGUUCAUGUCGUUACUGAAGGACGUCCUUCCACACUUCCUGAUUACAGCAGCAGUGCUGACACAGCGUAAUAGCCAGACCAUCAGCACAGGCCACAUGUAAGCACACAAGUAUCCUGGGCAGCGCCUUCACAGGAACAUUUAAUCACAGUAUAAAAGGACUUUCUCAUGUUUAUGUGAAUGCCAUAGCAACGACAUCACAGUUUAUGUAACAUAAAAAAAAUGGUCCUGCUAGUGUCACAGGUGAGGGUGGGGCUACAGUAUUAAUCUAUGACUGGCUAACCCCCCACUCUUAUUUUGAAAGUUUAGUCGCUGUUUACAGUUUACAUCACUUCAGCGGGAGUAACAAAUAAAAUCAAAGCUUUUUCCAUCUCCACGUUUCCACCUGAUUUCUUUGAUAUACCACCUGACUCAAAAUUGUCGAAACAUUAAGAACACCCAAAAGAUUUUACUGAGCUAACACAGCAGGGACCAGACAUCAGGCUAACUCCCAGCAGGCUCUGGAAUAUUCCAGGUAACUCUGACAUUGUUAGGUGGGAGGCCUCAGGUGACGCUGCCUCAAAGGCUUCCUCUGUCAGUGUCAUCACUGUGGGUCUGUUCACACACAUCGCUCCAUGAUUCCCCCCUGAAGAAGAGUCCUUUCCUAAUCCUUCGUGCUUCCGGUUCUGCCGGAGACACAGACACUCACAGACAAACCGUGUGUGUGUGUGUGUGCGCGCGCAGGCGUUAUCAGCUUCAUCAUCUGAUGUGGCAGCGGUCUGACGAGUCUGCAGACGCUAAGCCGUGUCCUGCAAGUGAACCACACCUUCCUUAAACUUCUGCUGAUAACACGACACAACAGCUGCUGCCUCGCCCUGUGAGCCAGCAGCGACUGAGCCUUGUUACUGAAGGCCGACCCAAAACAGUCAGCAAACUUCUUCCUGCUUCAUCGGGUAGUUACCGCGGGGUCACUUCACAGACUCGGACGCCCUUCUUUAUCCGCUCUGCUGCACACAGACAAGAGCAACAGAGGCAGCAGUAACCUCUGCUCUGAAAACGUCCAUUAGAGCUGCAGAGCUGCGCGGGGAGCUCACAGAGAGAGGGCCUGCACGGCCUGCAGGAGCCGACCAAGGCAUCAUCAGGUAACCUCAGCUCCUAUUGGCUCAAGCAACGACGUAAGACAGCGAGUGACAUCCUGCAGCCUGGACGGUCACUUUAAAUAUCAUGUGACCUCGCUUUGUUUGGAGGUUGGCUUUGCAUGUCUGUCCCGUUUAUUCCUCACGCUGUGGGAUUAAUCCAAGAUUAAUCUGCGAUUGUCUUACUGAAAACAGGCGUCUUCACCUGUACUGAUGUUGGACGUUUAAAAAUCUGGGUUUUUUGAGCUCGAGUAAAUUUAAUCCCACUGACAGAAAGGUGCACGUGCCGGCUUUAUUAAAAGAAGAUGAUUCAUAGGAAGGCAUUUCCUUGAUGAUGACGUUCCUUUUUGUCCUAAAACCUGAAUUCACUCCUCACCUUAAAAUAAUGACAAAGCUCCCCUCAGAGUCUGACUAAAUGCUGCUUUUAAGGUUGACCUAUUCUGCACUUUUUCUACUCUUCCAGCUGUAUGAUGUCAUCACGAAAACAAAAGCUCCACCCACCUGCUGUUUAAAACUUCUCUUUGUAAGGCUUAUUCUGAUUUGUGAAUCAUGUUAAGCUGCCCUGGGAGUGUGAGAGAACACAGUCUGAUUCAGCUGUAAACACAGUCUGAAAAGUCAGUGAUGACACAGCAGCAGCUAGCAUGCUUAACAGCCAUUUAGCUGUAUCCACCUGACAGGAGGGACCGGUGACUCACUCAGGUGAGGCUCCAGGUAAAUACAGGCACCGUUGCUGCUGCGUUUGUGGCAGCCAGCCAAUCAAAGCCUACCUGGAGUCUGAGCUGGUUAAACACGUCGGCAGUGUCCGUGUCCGCAAACACGGAGCUCCGUUUUUAAUCUGAUUUAAGUUCCACUCAGCGGCUAACCCACAAACCCGAGCUCAGAGCCCCGGAGCUGGGCCUGUGGUCAAAGUUCCGUGAUCUGCCGGAUCUCCCAGCUCCGUACAGUCAAACCGGACUCACUCAGGGGGCUGUCGGUCGCUUUAUGACCGAUUAAAGUGCCAGAGGAAUUGUUGUCUGAAGGCCAAGAAAGAUGCCAAGCGGAUUUUCAACUGAUUUUCAAAUGGCAGAAACACAAUGAACCAAUCACACUAAGGACACUGCUAUGCUUUUACCUGCUAAGUAAAGGUCACCCUGACUCACUGCUCCGUCCUGUGGUACAAACAUGACGGUACAGCCAGCCUUGUUCUAACUCUGGCUUGCAUCUCCACAUCGCAGUGCACAGAUGUUCUCGACGUGAAAAAGCUUGUGCAUGCUCGUGGAUUACCUGUUACAGAAACAACAAAUCACAACAACAGAUGCCUCAGGUGCUUUCAUAUUGUAAGACCUACAAUAACACACAGAAAACAAUGUUUUGAUAAUUAGCAUUACUGU
Molecule: long non-coding RNA, 2520 nt
Organism: Oreochromis niloticus (Nile tilapia)
Lineage: Eukaryota; Metazoa; Chordata; Actinopteri; Cichliformes; Cichlidae
Exons: 4
Source: RefSeq, a predicted model, not a curated record